RNAcentral lists this ribosomal RNA (459 nucleotides) under Triticum aestivum (bread wheat). Its description in RNAcentral is "partial small subunit ribosomal RNA". The record is from RNAcentral. Lineage: Eukaryota; Viridiplantae; Streptophyta; Magnoliopsida; Poales; Poaceae.
CUGCAACCCCUCGUCGACGCGGUGGCCGGCCGACUCCCUUCAUGGAAGGCAUGGCUAAUGAACAAGGCCGGAUGGCUGGCACUCGUCAAGUCGGUCCUCAGCGCGAUCCCGAUUCAUCAGCUGCUCGCACUCUUGCCACCGAAGAAAACCCUUAAGCAGCUCGAGAAGAUCCAACGUGGGUUCCUUUGGGCCGGCCGAGAUGAUGCCCACGAUGGCCACUGCCACGUGAACUGGCGCCGGGUCUGCCGCCCGCUUGAUUAUGGCGGCCUUGGCGUCCGAGACAUGGAGCGCACGGGGCUCUUGUUACGACUGCGCUGGCUAUGGCUCGCGCGCACGGACACUGAGCGAGCAUGGCAUGGUCUGGACCUACAGUUCACUCCAGAGGAGCGCGCACUCUUUUACGCUUCCAUGACCAUGGCCAUUGGGGACGGCAGGACCGCCCUGUUCUGGGAGGAUCGC